This 253-nucleotide ribosomal RNA is filed under the name uncultured bacterium. RNAcentral's name for it is "partial 16S ribosomal RNA". It matches the Rfam family "Bacterial small subunit ribosomal RNA", at positions 524 to 776 of the family's 1533-position model. The record is from RNAcentral.
UACGUAGGGUGCAAGCGUUAAUCGGAAUUACUGGGCGUAAAGCGUGCGCAGGCGGUUCGCUAAGACCGAUGUGAAAUCCCCGGGCUUAACCUGGGAACUGCAUUGGUGACUGGCGGGCUAGGGUAUGGCAGAGGGGGGUAGAAUUCCACGUGUAGCAGUGAAAUGCGUAGAGAUGUGGAGGAAUACCGAUGGCGAAGGCAGCCCCCUGGGCCAAUACUGACGCUCAUGCACGAAAGCGUGGGGAGCAAACAGG